UUAAGCGACUAAGCGUACACGGUGGAUGCCCUGGCAGUCAGAGGCGAUGAAGGACGUGCUAAUCUGCGAUAAGCGUCGGUAAGGUGAUAUGAACCGUUAUAACCGGCGAUUUCCGAAUGGGGAAACCCAGUGUGUUUCGACACACUAUCAUUAACUGAAUCCAUAGGUUAAUGAGGCGAACCGGGGGAACUGAAACAUCUAAGUACCCCGAGGAAAAGAAAUCAACCGAGAUUCCCCCAGUAGCGGCGAGCGAACGGGGAGGAGCCCAGAGCCUGAAUCAGUGUGUGUGUUAGUGGAAGCGUCUGGAAAGGCGCGCGAUACAGGGUGACAGCCCCGUACACAAAAAUGCACAUGCUGUGAGCUCGAUGAGUAGGGCGGGACACGUGGUAUCCUGUCUGAAUAUGGGGGGACCAUCCUCCAAGGCUAAAUACUCCUGACUGACCGAUAGUGAACCAGUACCGUGAGGGAAAGGCGAAAAGAACCCCGGCGAGGGGAGUGAAAAAGAACCUGAAACCGUGUACGUACAAGCAGUGGGAGCACGCUUAGGCGUGUGACUGCGUACCUUUUGUAUAAUGGGUCAGCGACUUAUAUUCUGUAGCAAGGUUAACCGAAUAGGGGAGCCGAAGGGAAACCGAGUCUUAACUGGGCGUUAAGUUGCAGGGUAUAGACCCGAAACCCGGUGAUCUAGCCAUGGGCAGGUUGAAGGUUGGGUAACACUAACUGGAGGACCGAACCGACUAAUGUUGAAAAAUUAGCGGAUGACUUGUGGCUGGGGGUGAAAGGCCAAUCAAACCGGGAGAUAGCUGGUUCUCCCCGAAAGCUAUUUAGGUAGCGCCUCGUGAACUCAUCUCCGGGGGUAGAGCACUGUUUCGGCAAGGGGGUCAUCCCGACUUACCAACCCGAUGCAAACUGCGAAUACCGGAGAAUGUUAUCACGGGAGACACACGGCGGGUGCUAACGUCCGUCGUGAAGAGGGAAACAACCCAGACCGCCAGCUAAGGUCCCAAAGUCAUGGUUAAGUGGGAAACGAUGUGGGAAGGCCCAGACAGCCAGGAUGUUGGCUUAGAAGCAGCCAUCAUUUAAAGAAAGCGUAAUAGCUCACUGGUCGAGUCGGCCUGCGCGGAAGAUGUAACGGGGCUAAACCAUGCACCGAAGCUGCGGCAGCGACGCUUAUGCGUUGUUGGGUAGGGGAGCGUUCUGUAAGCCUGUGAAGGUGUGCUGUGAGGCAUGCUGGAGGUAUCAGAAGUGCGAAUGCUGACAUAAGUAACGAUAAAGCGGGUGAAAAGCCCGCUCGCCGGAAGACCAAGGGUUCCUGUCCAACGUUAAUCGGGGCAGGGUGAGUCGACCCCUAAGGCGAGGCCGAAAGGCGUAGUCGAUGGGAAACAGGUUAAUAUUCCUGUACUUGGUGUUACUGCGAAGGGGGGACGGAGAAGGCUAUGUUGGCCGGGCGACGGUUGUCCCGGUUUAAGCGUGUAGGCUGGUUUUCCAGGCAAAUCCGGAAAAUCAAGGCUGAGGCGUGAUGACGAGGCACUACGGUGCUGAAGCAACAAAUGCCCUGCUUCCAGGAAAAGCCUCUAAGCAUCAGGUAACAUCAAAUCGUACCCCAAACCGACACAGGUGGUCAGGUAGAGAAUACCAAGGCGCUUGAGAGAACUCGGGUGAAGGAACUAGGCAAAAUGGUGCCGUAACUUCGGGAGAAGGCACGCUGAUAUGUAGGUGAAGCGACUUGCUCGUGGAGCUGAAAUCAGUCGAAGAUACCAGCUGGCUGCAACUGUUUAUUAAAAACACAGCACUGUGCAAACACGAAAGUGGACGUAUACGGUGUGACGCCUGCCCGGUGCCGGAAGGUUAAUUGAUGGGGUCAGCGCAAGCGAAGCUCUUGAUCGAAGCCCCGGUAAACGGCGGCCGUAACUAUAACGGUCCUAAGGUAGCGAAAUUCCUUGUCGGGUAAGUUCCGACCUGCACGAAUGGCGUAAUGAUGGCCAGGCUGUCUCCACCCGAGACUCAGUGAAAUUGAACUCGCUGUGAAGAUGCAGUGUACCCGCGGCAAGACGGAAAGACCCCGUGAACCUUUACUAUAGCUUGACACUGAACAUUGAGCCUUGAUGUGUAGGAUAGGUGGGAGGCUUUGAAGUGUGGACGCCAGUCUGCAUGGAGCCGACCUUGAAAUACCACCCUUUAAUGUUUGAUGUUCUAACGUUGACCCGUAAUCCGGGUUGCGGACAGUGUCUGGUGGGUAGUUUGACUGGGGCGGUCUCCUCCUAAAGAGUAACGGAGGAGCACGAAGGUUGGCUAAUCCUGGUCGGACAUCAGGAGGUUAGUGCAAUGGCAUAAGCCAGCUUGACUGCGAGCGUGACGGCGCGAGCAGGUGCGAAAGCAGGUCAUAGUGAUCCGGUGGUUCUGAAUGGAAGGGCCAUCGCUCAACGGAUAAAAGGUACUCCGGGGAUAACAGGCUGAUACCGCCCAAGAGUUCAUAUCGACGGCGGUGUUUGGCACCUCGAUGUCGGCUCAUCACAUCCUGGGGCUGAAGUAGGUCCCAAGGGUAUGGCUGUUCGCCAUUUAAAGUGGUACGCGAGCUGGGUUUAGAACGUCGUGAGACAGUUCGGUCCCUAUCUGCCGUGGGCGCUGGAGAACUGAGGGGGGCUGCUCCUAGUACGAGAGGACCGGAGUGGACGCAUCACUGGUGUUCGGGUUGUCAUGCCAAUGGCACUGCCCGGUAGCUAAAUGCGGAAGAGAUAAGUGCUGAAAGCAUCUAAGCACGAAACUUGCCCCGAGAUGAGUUCUCCCUGACCCUUUAAGGGUCCUGAAGGAACGUUGAAGACGACGACGUUGAUAGGCCGGGUGUGUAAGCGCAGCGAUGCGUUGAGCUAACCGGUACUAAUGAACCGUGAGGCUUAACCUU
RNAcentral lists this ribosomal RNA (2902 nucleotides) under Escherichia coli. RNAcentral's name for it is "bacterial LSU rRNA". It matches the Rfam family "Bacterial large subunit ribosomal RNA". The record is from RNAcentral. Lineage: Bacteria; Pseudomonadati; Pseudomonadota; Gammaproteobacteria; Enterobacterales; Enterobacteriaceae.